UCACUGGCACUUUUGAUCAGUUUAAUGCAUCCUUACUAAAUAAAAGCAUUCUUGUUUUUUUUAAUAAACAAAUAGAUAUGUAUAUAAUAGUUGUGCAUCGCUGAGCGAGGAGGUGUUGUUGUUGUCUGCAGUGAGUGACGGUGUGGACCGCUCCAGUGACCGCUCGAGCGUCCAGCAUCAUCCUGCGUUACUGAUGGAGAGCUACAGCUCGUCCCCGUCUCCUCCGAACGUCUCGUCCUCCGUCCUGGAGCUGCAGAAUCAGAGCAGCACGUUCAUCACAGCGAGCAAGACUUCAGGUCUGUUAGGCCUCUCGACUCUGGUCUGAAUCAAACGCUUCAGAUCACUGUGAAUCCAUCGAGAUCAUCGGAGUGCGGUGAAAGCAGCGUUUGACUGUGAACUUGGACGUGUUCGGACAGACGGAGAGCAAAUGCACUGAGACAUUUCAUAGUUUCAUAGACUGAUAAACGUCCAGAGCCUCGCUGAUGAAUAUGAAUUACAGAAUAAAAGCCCCUCAGCAGCGCUGGUACGUGACACGACCGAUCACCGCUGUUUUACUUUCACUUCAGAGACUUCACCACUCCACAUCUGACUCAGUAUUUCUGAUUGAUUUGAGUUCUGGCACUACUAAUAAAAUCCGGACAGGAUUGCAUUUUUAUUAAGGAUUGAGUCCCACUUUUUACUAUGGCAAUAUAAAUAAAAGAGUAAAGUAAAU
Carassius auratus (goldfish) is the source of this 712-nucleotide long non-coding RNA. RefSeq lists it as uncharacterized. The record is from RefSeq and is a predicted model, not a curated record. NCBI's taxonomy places the organism in Eukaryota, Metazoa, Chordata, Actinopteri, Cypriniformes, Cyprinidae. The transcript has 3 exons.